Long non-coding RNA from Canis lupus familiaris (dog), 1198 nucleotides. RefSeq lists it as uncharacterized. Lineage: Eukaryota; Metazoa; Chordata; Mammalia; Carnivora; Canidae. The record is from RefSeq and is a predicted model, not a curated record. The transcript is spliced from 5 exons.
GGGCCCGCGAGGAGCCGGGCUAAGGGGGGCGGCGGGAGCCUCGGGACAGGAGAGCCCAGCCCCGGAGAGGCAGGGACUUGAAAAAUCCGCACUGGAUUCCUCCUGGACAGAAAGGCGCUGGCAGGGAACUCGGGCAGCACCGCAGGAGGCGCGGUGGAGCCCCCAGGUUCCCGGGGUCACUACCAGAGGAGAUAUAAUGAGGUAUCCACGGAGACUGCAGGAGGAAUAGCUGAAUGCAUAAGCAACGCCAUAAGAAGUCUGAUGGGAGGCACAGCCUGCAGUAAAUGAAGUGAAGCAAUAUCCUUACCACACAGCAGAUGAGAAGAGUGAUGACCAGAGAUUUCACCAAUAUGACAGAAGUGUCACACAACUGAUGUGCAGAGUAGCUAAGAGCUGAGGUGACAAGCUGAUGGUAUCUGUGGCCUUUGGAAAAAGCACAUAUCAUAGCUGCUGCCCUACUUGAUGAGCCCUAUUCCACCCUCCCACACCCGAUCCUCAUUCUGGCAUGACAUCAGCUCUGCUUCCAGCCCCAAGUAUCAUCUUCUGCCCACCUGUUCCUGCAGCUCUAUGUGAACUUUGGUUUCAAGUUAGCAUCUCAACAUCCAUUUGGCAAAGACUUUUGGAAGGGGCUGUUAUGUACCACCCUGGAUCUAGCAUCAGGGAUCAAAUGGUGAGUAAGCAGAGACACUGACCUGGCAACCACCACCUAUUUUGUACUUUGAAGAAGUUUUAAAUGUUGUUUUGGACUCUGAUGUGAUCUCAGUUUCAUGUCACAUUUUAAUUCCACAGUGAUUGUGUUCACUUGACCGUUUGCUGGAUGCAGAGACGAGAGUUAUGAAUACUGACUCUUGUUGGCCUCUAAAGGGCCCUGGAAUGCUAUGAUGCUGCUUUCAGAAUUUGAUAUUACACACAUAACCAAAGUUCGAUAACCACAUCUUCUUCUUCUUCUUCUUCUUUUUUUUUUUUUUUUGGCUAGUUUUACUAUUUUUGUUUUGCUGCCAUCCAUGGACUAUCUUGUCCUAAAGCAGAAGGACGGCACAUUAGGAUGAGAGAUGUUUCCUCUAAAUAUGGAAUAGUUGCAAAGCAAUCAUAAUAAUGAAAUGGAUUGUGGGCGUAAUGUGCCUGUGUUUUCUCAUUAUGGCAUAUUUUGCUGUGAUGUUCCUGUAAUGAAUGUACCACUUGUAUGUAUUAAAAAUGA